This 301-nucleotide ribosomal RNA is filed under the name uncultured bacterium. RNAcentral's name for it is "partial 16S ribosomal RNA". It matches the Rfam family "Bacterial small subunit ribosomal RNA", at positions 509 to 807 of the family's 1533-position model. The record is from RNAcentral.
CAGCCGCCGCGGUAAUACGAAGGGUGCAAGCGUUAAUCGGAAUUACUGGGCGUAAAGCGUGCGUAGGCGGUUUGUUAAGUCUGUUGUGAAAUCCCCGGGCUCAACCUGGGAAUGGCAAUGGAUACUGGCAAGCUAGAGUGUGUCAGAGGAUGGUGGAAUUCCCGGUGUAGCGGUGAAAUGCGUAGAGAUCGGGAGGAACACCAGUGGCGAAGGCGACUCUCUGGUCUGUAACUGACGCUGAGGAGCGAAAGCGUGGGGAGCAAACAGGAUUAGAUACCCCAGUAGUCCCUGUCUCUUAUAC